Molecule: ribosomal RNA, 266 nt
Filed under: Bacillus cereus
Lineage: Bacteria; Bacillati; Bacillota; Bacilli; Caryophanales; Bacillaceae
Description: partial 16S ribosomal RNA
Rfam family: Bacterial small subunit ribosomal RNA
Source: RNAcentral
GCGUUUUCUGGGAUUUAUUGGGGGUAAAGCGUGCGCAGGUGGUUUUUUAAGUUUGAUGUGAAAGCCCACGGUUCAACCGUGGAGGGUCAUUGGAAACUGGGAGACUUGAGUGCAGAAGAGGAAAGUGGAAUUUCAUGUGUAGCGGUGAAAUGCGUAGAGAUAUGGAGGAACACCAGUGGCGAAGGCGACUUUUUGGUCUGUAACUGACACUGAGGCGCGAAAGCGUGGGGAGCAAACAGGAUUAGAUACCCUGGUAGUCCACGCCG